RNAcentral lists this unclassified non-coding RNA (371 nucleotides) under soil metagenome. RNAcentral's name for it is "partial contains 5.8S ribosomal RNA, internal transcribed spacer 2, and large subunit ribosomal RNA". The stretch from base 1 to 120 matches the Rfam family "5.8S ribosomal RNA", at positions 35 to 154 of the family's 154-position model. The record is from RNAcentral.
GAUGAAGAACGCAGCGAAAUGCGAUAAGUAAUGUGAAUUGCAGAAUACAGUGAAUCAUCGAAUCUUUGAACGCAUCUUGCGCUCCUUGGUAUUCCGAGGAGCAUGCCUGUUUGAGUGUCAUUAAAGUUCUCAACCACAUUACUACAUAUGUGGCUUGGAUGUGGGGGUUUGCAGGCUUUCUCUGAGGGUCUGCUCCUCUGAAAUGCAUUAGUGGUAUUCCUGAGCUUUACUACAGAUGUGAUAAUUUAUCUACAUCCCAAAAGUAUGCUUCAGCAACACCGCUCCUAACAAGCGAAAGCACAUUUUGAUGAAUUUGACCUCAAAUCAGGUAGGACUACCCGCUGAACUUAAGCAUAUCAAUAAGCGGAGGA